RNAcentral lists this ribosomal RNA (253 nucleotides) under uncultured bacterium. RNAcentral's name for it is "partial 16S ribosomal RNA". It matches the Rfam family "Bacterial small subunit ribosomal RNA", at positions 524 to 776 of the family's 1533-position model. The record is from RNAcentral.
GACGGAGGAUGCAAGCGUUAUCCGGAAUUAUUGGGCGUAAAGCGUCCGUAGGCGGUUUCAAAAGUCUGUUGUUAAAGCCCACAGCUCAACUGUGGAUCGGCAAUGGAAACUGUGAGACUAGAGAGUGGUAGGGGUAGAGGGAAUUCCUAGUGUAGCGGUGAAAUGCGUAGAUAUUAGGAAGAACACCAGUGGCGAAGGCGAAUCUCUGGACAGUUACUGACACUGAGGCACGAAGGCCAGGGGAGCAAACGGG